This 7228-nucleotide long non-coding RNA is filed under the name Ananas comosus (pineapple). RNAcentral describes it as "long non-coding RNA (ACOM_LNC024570)". The record is from RNAcentral. Lineage: Eukaryota; Viridiplantae; Streptophyta; Magnoliopsida; Poales; Bromeliaceae.
UGGGGCCCACAUCAUCCUAACCACCACCCAUUUCUCAAUCUAAGGGCUAAAAAAUCAAUAGCACCAAUAGCUUGGUGCUUUUAAUAGUAUUCCAACCUAGUUAUAUAUAUAUAUAUAUAUAUAUAUAUAGUGCGCCUGGUAUGCUUCUGGAAGCACGGAGCGCUCCGUGCUUCCAAGUUGUUUUCGAUGUUCGGACUUUCGAAUCGACGAUCGGCUCCGUUAGACUUGAUCUAGAGUAUUUGAAGUAUCUAGAAAAUAAAUUUUGCGAUUUUUCGAUAUCAUUUGCCUAGUGAUCGAAGGGGCUCAAAAUCAAUAAUUUUAAUGGCCGUGGUGAGCCGUUUGCAAGUUUAACGGUGUAGAAAUAUUCAAAUCACAUGAAAUUUUGAUAAAAAAUUCUUUAUACCAUAUAAAACAAGAUCAAUAUCUUUAAUCUAAAAUUUUAAUGUCAUAUCAUCAUAUUUUGUAAGAUUUUUAUUUUUAGCCGUUGAUUUUGAGCCACUUCGAUCACUAGGCAAAUGAUAUCGAAAAAUCGCAAAAUUUAUUUUCUAGGUACUUCAAAUACUCUAGAUCAACUCUAUUGGAGCCGAUCGUCGAUUCAAAAGUCCGAACAUAGAAAACAACUUGGAAGCACGGAGGGCUCCGUGCUUCCAGAAGCAUACCAGCCCUCUAUAUAUAUAUAUAUAUAUAUAUAUAUAUAUAUAUAUAUAUAUAUAUAUAUAUAUAGUCCGGCUACUAUACUACGAUCGUCCUCGUACUCAUAAGUUGUUUUCGAUGAUAGAGCUUCCGAAUCGACGAUCCACACCGUUAAAUACUAUGUAGAGCAUUUAAAACUUCUAGAAAUCAAAUUUUAUAAUGUUUCGAUAUCAUAUACCUUACGAUCAAAAGCUCACAAAAUUGACAAUUUUUAACGGCCGGUACGAGAUAUUUGCUAGUUUAACGGUGAAAAAGAAUCAGAAUAGGUUGAAUUUUUGAUAGAAACUUCUAUUCACUAUCUAAAUAAAGAUCAAUAACUCUGAUCUUAAAUUAAAGGAUCCGAUCAUCCAUUUUUAGGAUGUCGUUCAAUUUUAAUCGUUCAUUUUAUACUCGCUUGAUGGACUUUAUAAUGAUUUCGAAAAAUUACGAAAUUUAUUUUCUAGAAGUUCAAAUACUCUAGAUCAUGUUUAACGGUGUUGAUCGUCGAUUCGAAAAGCCCAACAUCGAAAACAACUUAGGAGUACGAAAGGCUCUAUACUCAUAAGAGUAUAGUUGUCACGCCCUGGAUUACCACGUUUCCUCAGGCACGCCAACAGACCCGCCGUACACAUAGAAAUUUUUCGUGUAUACGAAGCAAUAGCCAAAACCUGCAAACAGAUAUAGCUAUGACCAGAGGUAAAGAGCUGCUAAAAAAAAAACUGAAACAUAUCUAUAUAAAUAAAAGGCCACUGUACAUACAAGCUCCAAAAGUACAACCACAUCCCAAUGAGUACAACUAAAGAAUGCAUGUACAUGGUAACAUCCAAAAAUACCUCUGUGGGGGUGCUCCUCUAGGAAAAAGGACCGGGGAAGAUAGGGAUCUAGCUCGCGACUCCCUUUCCAUUGUCAGAAUCAACAGCAGCAGCAGACGAAGGCUCUGCAAAAAGGUAGCAACAACUGGAUGUGAGAACUACUGCAAAACAGAGUAGUCCUCAGUGGGUACCGUCACCCACCAUAACGGCCUACCCACUAAGUCUACAGUAAUAUGUGCAAAGGAUAGUAAGGAAAGCUGGAAAGAACUCUACAGCUAUAUGCCACUAUACUAUCGCUAACCAACACAGGCUAUCUGUAGACAUAGACAUGCAUCACACCGACCCAAUCUCACUAGGGCUGCCCAAACGGACCCACCCUGCCUGUAUCCAAGCUAUGCAGUACACCACCCACGGGGAUGGUCGUUCCAAGAAAACUAUCCAAACAGGACUGCUGCGACAUCAACACAAGUAAAGCCUUACUCCGGAGCGGCACUUGUGGGAGCGACCCAACCGAGUAUGCAAGCAUGUCUCUAUUGAGCUCAAUCAUGCUCACAUAGGCUAUAGUCAAUGCAAAUGGGUCAAACUAGUCUAACAACCAAAACUCACGUGCCCUCGGCACAAUCUGAUAGAAGAUGUAAACAUUUUGGUCCAACGUCAGUCCCGACGACAUCCGACAGUACGAAACUGUCCAAACUCUAUUGUAAAAUGAGUUCGGCCCCUCAGCACGAGGGUAAUCUUAACCUACACUAAUCUGGGUAUCCACAACGCACUAACAGCGGUGAUACAAAAGAACAACAGCUCUUGAAAUUAAUUCGGUUAACUUUUCGAAAAGUUACAGUGUAGAUUUAAUCAGUUUUCUCCUAAGUCAAAUCCCAGUUCAGCAUAUAUAAUUUAUCUAAAAUUCUAAGAGUAUGCUCCAAACUCAGAUUUCAUAUAAACAUGCAAAUCCAUAAAUUCGAGCUACUAAAUAUGAUGAAUAAAACAACGAAAUACGUGCUGACAUCUCUAUGACUUAGAAGGAAUUCCGACGAUUUCGGUAAAUAUUAACCCACCUAGUAUGCAAAUCCGAUCACAAAUUAAAGUGAAACUCUGCGGUCACGUGCCUUCAGUCCCGAAUCACCAACAAGUAUAAGAAAAUCCAACAAAUCCCUGUUGAAUCGAGCUGAAUUAAAAAUCGAAUAAAAAAUCCAUCAAAUGUCUAUUCGGUUCGGAAAAAUUCAAAUUCAGCAUUAUUCACCUCAAACCAGUAGUUGCAACUUGAUUCGCAGGUUCCUUUCUACCUCAGGAACACCCUAGAAGCAAAGUGGUUGGCUGAAUAGUACAAUCUAACAAGUAAAAAUAAUCAAAGGGUUAAAUCUAAUGGUGGAAAACUCGAUACCACCAAACCCUUGGUGCUAUCGAUAGUAUCCCAGCCGGACUCUAUAUAUAUAUAUAUAUAUAUAUAUAUAUAUANAAGGGGGGAAAAGAAUUGGGGGAAAAUAAAUAAAAAAAGAUAAAAAGAUGGUACCUUUUUUCUCCUCCUAGGGUUUCGAUCUUAUAGGGUCUCUUUGUGAUUACCCAUGGCUGGUUCUGAGUAGAGGAAAAUGCGUAGUGGAUUAAAAUGGGGAGAGAGAGAGAGAGAGAGAGAGAGAGAGAGAGAGAGAGAGAGAGAGAGAGGAGAGAGAGAGAGAGAGAGUUGAGCUAGAAUGCUAUCGAUAGCAAACGUGUUCCGUUGCCACCAAUUUAUUUUCGAUGAUGGAGCCUUUAAAUCGACAAUCGGCACCAUUGAAUAUGAUCUAUACCACUUGAAGUAUCUAGAAACCAAAUUUUAAAUCUUUUCGACAGUAUUGACUUAAUGUUUAAAGGGCUUCAAAAUUUGUAAUUUUAAUGAGAAUUAUGAGGCGUUUUCUCGUUUAACGGUGUAAAGCUAUUCAAAUUAAUUGAAUUUUGGUUAGAAAAUUCUUUAAACUAUAUAUUUAGAACAAGAUCUAUAUUCUCGAUCAUGAUUGCAAAAUUUCUAUCAUCACUUUUUAGAGGAUAUUUAUUUUCAGCCGUUCAUUUUUACGCCAACUUGAUGGACAAGAGAACAAUAUCGAAAAAGUAUAAAAUUUAAUUUCUAGAUAUUUCAAAUGGUAUAGAUUAUUUUCAACAGUGCCAAUCGUUGAUUUGGAGGCUCCAUCAUCGAAAAUAAAUGGGUGGCAACGGAGCACGUUUGUUACCGAUUGUAUUCCAGCUCAACUCUCUCUCUCUCUCUCUAUAUAUAUAAAGAGAGAAAGAGAGAGAGAGAAAGAGAGAGAGAGAGAGAGAGAGAGUAGGACUACUAUACUAUUAUGAGCAUUGGGCCCUUCGUACUCAUAAGUUGUUUUCGAUGAUGGAGCUUCCAAAUCGACGAUCCACUCCGUUAAACAUGAUAUAGAGUAUUUGAAACUUCUAGAAAAUAAAUUUCGUAAUUUUUCAAAAUCAUAAUAAAGUCCAUCAAGCGGGCAUAAAAUGAAUGGUCAAAAUCGAAUGAUGUCUUAAAAAUGGAUGAUCGGAUCUUUCAAUUUAAGAUCGGAGUUAUUGAUCUUCAUCUAGGUAGUGAAUAGAAUUUUCUAUCAAAAAUGUAACCUAUUCCGAUUCUUUUGCACCGUUAAACUAGCAAGUAUCCUAUACCGACCGUUAAAAAUUGUUAAAUUUGUGAGCUUUUGAUCCUAAGGUAAAUGAUGUCGAAAAAUUAUGAAAUUUGAUUUCUAGAUUUUCAAAUGCUCUAGAUAACAUUUAACGGUGUGGAUCGUCAAUUCGGAAGCUCUAUCAUCGAAAAUAACUUAUGAGUGCGAGGGCGAUCGUACUCAAAAUAUAUAUAUAUAUAUAUAUAUAUAUAUAUAUAAUAUAUACAUAUAUAUGUAAUAAUAUACAUAUAUAUAUGAUAUAUAUACAUAUAUAUAUACCAUAGUCGGUUAUACAUAUAUAUAUAUAUAUAUAUAUGUAAUAUAUGUAUAACCAGACUAUAUAUAUAUAUAUGUACUAUUAUAUACACUAUUAAUAUUAUAUAUAUACAUAUAUAUGUAUAUAUAUACAUAUAUAUAUGUAUAUAAUAUACAUAUAUAUAGCAUAUAUAUGUAUAUAUAUGUAUAUACAUAGUAUACUAAUAUAUAUGUAUAUAUAUAUUUAUAUACAUUAUAUAUGUAUAUAUUAUAUACAUAUAUUCAUGUAUAAUGUAUAUAUGUUAUACAUAUAUACAUUGUUAUUCAUUAGCAUAUAAUAUUGUAUAUAUAUACAUGUAUAUAUGUAUAUAAUAUAUAGUGUAUAUAAUGUAUAUACAGAAUACAUGUAUAUAUGUAUAUCCAUAUAUACAUAUAUAUGUAUAUAGUAUAUAUCAUAUAUAACAUAUACUACAUAUAUAUUGUACAAUAUAUACAUACACUAUAUAUGUAUAUACAUAUUAUACAUAUAUAUACAUAUAUAUAUAUAUAUAUUACAUAUACACAUAUACAUGUACAUAUAUAUAUAUAUAUAAUCAAUACAUAUACAUACAAUAUACAAUAAUAUAUAGCAUAUAAUAUAUACAAUAUAUAUCAUACAUAGCAUAUAACUAAUAUAUACAUAUAUACAUAUGUAUAUACAUAUAUAUACAAUAUAACAUAUAGUAUACAUACAUAUACACUAUAUAUACAUAAUGCAUACAUAUACAUAUAUAUAAGUAUCAAUAUAUAAUGUAUACAUAUAUCAUAUAUAUAUGUAUACAUAUAUAUCAUAUAUAUAAUGUAUACAUAUAUAAUAUACAUAUUACAUAUACAUUAACUGUAUAUGUAUAUAUAUGUAUAUGUAUAUGUAUAUGUAUAUUAUAUGUAUAUAUAUAUAUGUAUAUAUAUAUAUUAUGUAUAUGUAUAUACAACAUAUAUAUAUAUAAUAUAUAUAUGUAUAUUAACAUAAUAUAUGUAUAUUACAUAUAUGUAUAUAUGUAUAUAGUACAUAUAUGUAUAUAUGUAUAUAUAGCAUAAUAUGUAUAUAUGUAAAUAUACAUAUAUGUAUUAUGUAUAUAUACAUAUGAUACAUAUAUGUAUAAUAUUUUAUUAUUGUAUAAUGAUAUAUAUAUAUACAUAUGUAUAUAUAUAUCUAUAUGUUUUUUUUUUAACAAAAUACAUAUAUAUAUAUAUAUAAUGUACAUACAUAUAUAUAUAUAUAUUGUAGCAUACAUAUCAUAUAUAUUAUGUACAUAUAUGUAUAUACAUAUAAUAAUGAUAUACUAUACUUAUAUACAUAUAUAUAAUAUAUAUAUAUAUAUAUAUAUAUAAUACAUACAUAUAAUAUAUAUAUAUACAUAAUAUAUAUAUAUAAUAUAUGUAUAUAUAUGUAUUAUAUGUAUAUAUCAUAUACAGUAUAUGUAUAUAUAAUAUACAUAUAAUGUAUAUACAUAGAUAUCAUAUUAUCAUAUAUAAAUACCAUAUAUAUAUAUAUAUAUACAUAUACAUAUACAUACAUAUACAUAUACAUAUAUAUACAUAUACAUAUACAUAUACAUAUACAUAUAUAUAUAUACAUAUACAUAUACAUAUACAUACACACACACACACACACACACACACACACACACACACACACACACACACACACACACACACACACACACAUAUAUAUAUAUAUAUAUAUACAUAUACAUGUAUACAUAUACAUGUAUACAUAUAUUUACAUUUAUACAUAUAUAUACGGGGCAACUGCUUAAAUACCCCUGAAAAGUUUUCCGACUUUCCGAUUUACCCCUCUUAGGAGGCUAAUAUUGAAAAUACCCUUUGUACAUUCCAACAUAUUUCUAAUAUACCCCUAGAGUUAAAAUUUGUUAAUUAACCUUGUUAUCUCUGUAAAAUUACUAUUUUGCCCUUUCAAAUAUACCCUUCCACCAUCACUGACUUUCUUAUUUGCCCUUAAAGUCAGGGGCACAAAAAAUAUUUUGACUUUUAGUCUUUUCCAAUAUACCCCUCUUCCGUCACCAACAUUUUUUAUUUGCCCUUAAGUUAAGGGCAAAAUUGGCAUUUUAUUUUUUUUUUAACUGUGAUAGAUAUUUAACUCACGUUUAACCCAAGUUAACUUAACAGCAGAUAACUGCGGGGGUAUUUUGCAAUAACGAUGAAACAUAUGAGGGGUAUUUUAGAAAGAAAAAAAAGGGAUAAAUCGGAUAUUUUCAAACGUAUGAGGGAUAUAUAGGCAAUUAUCCCUAUAUAUAUACAUGCAUGCAUACAUAUAUGUAUACAUGCAUACAUACAUGCAUACAUAUAUGCAUACAUGCAUAUAUAUAUAUAUAUAUAUAUAUAUAGUAAGGCUACUAUGUUUCUGGAAGCACAGAGCCUUCCGUGCUUCCAGGUCGUUUUCCUUGUUGCGACUUUCGAAUCGUCGAUCGGCUCCGUUAAACUUGAUCUAGAGUAUUUGAAGUAUCUAGAAAAUAAAUUAUGUGAUUUUUCGAUAUUAUUUGCCUAGUAAACGAAGGAGCUCAAAAUCAACGGCUGAAAAUAAAAAUCUUGCAAAACGUGAUAAUAUGACAUUAAAAUUUUAGAUCAAAGAUAUUGAUCUUGUUUUAUAUAGUAUAAAGAAUUUUCUAUCAAAAUUUCACGUGAUUAGGAUGUUUCUACACCGUUAAACUUCCAAACGGCUCACUACGGUCAUUAAAAUUAUUGAUUUUGAGCUCCUUCGAUUACUAGGCAAAUGAUAUCGAAAAAUUAUAAAAUUUAUUUUCUAGGUACUUCAAAUACUCUAGAUCAAGUUUAACGGAGCCGAUCGUCCGAUUCGAAAGU